GACGAACGCUGGCGGCGUGCUUAACACAUGCCAGUCGAACGGAAAGGCCCUGCUUUUGUGGGGUGCUCGAGUGGCGAACGGGUGAGUAACACGUGGGUAACCUGCCCUUGACUUUGGGAUAACUUCAGGAAACUGGGGCUAAUACCGGAUAGGAGCUCCUGCUGCAUGGUGGGGGUUGGAAAGUUUCGGCGGUUGGGGAUGGACUCGCGGCUUAUCAGCUUGUUGGUGGGGUAGUGGCUUACCAAGGCUUUGACGGGUAGCCGGCCUGAGAGGGUGACCGGCCACAUUGGGACUGAGAUACGGCCCAGACUCCUACGGGAGGCAGCAGCGGGGAAUAUUGCACAAUGGGCGGAAGCCUGAUGCAGCAACGCCGCGUGCGGGAUGACGGCCUUCGGGUUGUAAACCGCUUUCGCCUGUGACGAAGCGUGAGUGACGGUAAUGGGUAAAGAAGCACCGGCUAACUACGUG
RNAcentral lists this ribosomal RNA (468 nucleotides) under uncultured bacterium. RNAcentral describes it as "partial 16S ribosomal RNA". It matches the Rfam family "Bacterial small subunit ribosomal RNA", at positions 28 to 507 of the family's 1533-position model. The record is from RNAcentral.